GAUGAACGCUGGCGGCGUGCCUAAUACAUGCAAGUCGAGCGAACAGAUGAGGAGCUUGCUCCUCUGACGUUAGCGGCGGACGGGUGAGUAACACGUGGAUAACCUACCUAUAAGACUGGGAUAACUUCGGGAAACCGGAGCUAAUACCGGAUAAUAUAUUGAACCGCAUGGUUCAAUAGUGAAAGACGGUUUUGCUGUCACUUAUAGAUGGAUCCGCGCCGCAUUAGCUAGUUGGUAAGGUAACGGCUUACCAAGGCAACGAUGCGUAGCCGACCUGAGAGGGUGAUCGGCCACACUGGAACGGAGACACGGUCCAGACUCCUACGGGAGGCAGCAGUAGGGAAUCUUCCGCAAUGGGCGAAAGCCUGACGCAGCAACGCCGCGUGAGUGAUGAAGGUCUUCGGAUCGUAAAACUCUGUUAUUAGGGAAGAACAAAUGUGUAAGUAACUAUGCACGUCUUGACGGUACCUAAUCAGAAAGCCACGGCUAACUACGUG
This 497-nucleotide ribosomal RNA is filed under the name uncultured bacterium. Its description in RNAcentral is "partial 16S ribosomal RNA". It matches the Rfam family "Bacterial small subunit ribosomal RNA", at positions 28 to 507 of the family's 1533-position model. The record is from RNAcentral.